Molecule: long non-coding RNA, 207 nt
Filed under: Musa acuminata (dwarf banana)
Lineage: Eukaryota; Viridiplantae; Streptophyta; Magnoliopsida; Zingiberales; Musaceae
Description: long non-coding RNA (MACU_LNC009065)
Source: RNAcentral
UCAUACUGCCCUUUUGUACUCUGGUUUUGUGGGAUAAUGUGAACCUUUGCCAGAAAUGGUAAAGGGAGUUAUGCAUAGAGCCUGCGAUGCUCUGCCGGCCCCCUCUGACUUCACCUAGACGUGGGUGGAUGGAGCUCCCAAAAGUGAGAGACUUCUAUCUGGUGGUCAUUCAGAAAUGGAUGAAUCACAUUCUGUCUGUGGUCCCAC